GACGAACGCUGGCGGCGUGCCUAAUACAUGCAAGUCGAACGCAUUUUCUUUCACCGUAGCUUGCUACCCCGAAAGAAAAUGAGUGGCGAACGGGUGGGUAACCCGAGGGUAACCUGCCCAUCAGCGGGGGAUAACACUAGGAAACAGGUGCUAAUAUCGCAUAAUUCCAUUUACCGCAUGGUAGAUAGAUUAAAGGCGCUUUUGCGGCACUGUUGGAUGGGCCCGCGGUGCAUUAGCUAGUUGGGGGGGUAAAGGGCUACCAAGGCUGAGAGGCAUAGCCGACCUGAGGAGGUGAUCGGCCAAACUGGGAAUGAGACAACGCCCCGGAUCCUACGGGAGGGAGCAGUAAGGAAUCCUCAGCAAUGGACGCAAGUCUGAACGGGCAACGGCGCGUGAGUUAAGAAGGGUCUCGGAUCGGAAAACUCUGUUGUUAGAGAAGAACAAGGAGGGGAGUGGAAAGUUCAUCUCUUGACGGUAUCUAACCAGAAAGCCACGGCUAACUACGUG
Molecule: ribosomal RNA, 507 nt
Filed under: uncultured bacterium
Lineage: Bacteria
Description: partial 16S ribosomal RNA
Rfam family: Bacterial small subunit ribosomal RNA
Source: RNAcentral